UACGGAGGGGGCUAGCGUUGCUCGGAAUCACUGGGCGUAAAGGGCGCGUAGGCGGGAUGGCAAGUCGGUCGUGAAAUCCUCGGCUCAACUCGAGGGGGUCGGCCGAUACUGCCGUUCUUGAGGGAUGCAGAGGAGACUGGAAUUCCCGGUGUAGCGGUGAAAUGUGUAGAGAUCGGGAGGAACACCGGUGGCGAAGGCGGGUCUCUGGGCAUUCCCUGACGCUGAGGCGCGAAAGCGUGGGGAGCAAACGGG
This 252-nucleotide ribosomal RNA is filed under the name uncultured bacterium. Its description in RNAcentral is "partial 16S ribosomal RNA". It matches the Rfam family "Bacterial small subunit ribosomal RNA", at positions 524 to 776 of the family's 1533-position model. The record is from RNAcentral.